CCUACGGGAGGCAGCAGUGAGGAAUAUUGGUCAAUGGACGAGAGUCUGAACCAGCCAAGUAGCGUGAAGGAUGACUGCCCUAUGGGUUGUAAACUUCUUUUAUAAAGGAAUAAAACGAGGCACGUGUGCCUUUUUGCAUGUACUUUAUGAAUAAGGAUCGGCUAACUCCGUGCCAGCAGCCGCGGUAAUACGGAGGAUCCGAGCGUUAUCCGGAUUUAUUGGGUUUAAAGGGAGCGUAGAUGGGUUGUUAAGUCAGUUGUGAAAGUUUGGGGCUCAACCGUAAAAUUGCAAUUGAUACUGGCAGUCGUGAGUACAGUUGAGGUAGGCGGAAUUCGUGGUGUAGCGGUGAAAUGCUUAGAUAUCACGAAGAACCCCGAUUGCGAAGGCAGCUUACUAAACUGUGACUGACAUUGAUGCUCGAAAGUGUGGGUAUCAAACAGGAUUAGAUACCCUUGUAGUC
RNAcentral lists this ribosomal RNA (460 nucleotides) under uncultured bacterium. RNAcentral's name for it is "partial 16S ribosomal RNA". It matches the Rfam family "Bacterial small subunit ribosomal RNA", at positions 338 to 795 of the family's 1533-position model. The record is from RNAcentral.